GUGGGGAAUUUUGGACAAUGGGCGCAAGUCUGAUCCAGCAAUGCCGCGUGCAGGAAGAAGGCCUUCGGGUUGUAAACUGCUUUUGUACGGAACGAAACGGUCCUGGUUAAUACCUGGGGCUAAUGACGGUACCGUAAGAAUAAGCACCGGCUAACUACGUGCCAGCAGCCGCGGUAAUACGUAGGGUGCGAGCGUUAAUCGGAAUUACUGGGCGUAAAGCGUGCGCAGGCGGUGCUGUAAGACAGGCGUGAAAUCCCCGGGCUCAACCUGGGAAUUGCGCUUGUGACUGCAGUGCUGGAGUACGGCAGAGGGGGAUGGAAUUCCGCGUGUAGCAGUGAAAUGCGUAGAUAUGCGGAGGAACACCGAUGGCGAGGCAAUCCCCUGGGCCUGCACUGACGCUCAUGCACGAAAGCGUGGGGAGCAAACAGGAUUAGAUACCCGUGUAGUCC
Molecule: ribosomal RNA, 449 nt
Filed under: uncultured bacterium
Lineage: Bacteria
Description: partial 16S ribosomal RNA
Rfam family: Bacterial small subunit ribosomal RNA
Source: RNAcentral